Molecule: long non-coding RNA, 815 nt
Filed under: Mus musculus (house mouse)
Lineage: Eukaryota; Metazoa; Chordata; Mammalia; Rodentia; Muridae
Description: long non-coding RNA chr2:34502625-34503440
Source: RNAcentral
UGUAUUAUUAAUCAGGGUAAUGCCACCUUUUUAUGUAUAUUUAUAUAAUAUAUGUCACAUAUGCAUAUAUAAAUUCAUAUAUACAUUAUAUAAAAUUAGCUUUAAAGUAAGUUUUUAGUGUUAUGAUGCUCUCUAGCAUAAAAUGGCACAGAGUCUAGACCCUCCUUUUUUCCUUCUGAAUUCAAAAUCUGUCCUCUGCUCCUUCUGCUUGUCCUUCCCGUCCACAGGUGCUAGAGAUGAGUCAGACAGUAGAAUCUUGCUGUUGUUGUUUUUCUUUUUGUUUUGUCAGACAGUUUCUCUGUGCAAUCUCUAUUGUUGUCCUAGAACUUUCUAGGUAGACCAGGCUGCCCUAAAACUCAUGCCGAAAUGAGGAAUGUCCCACCUAGGUAACAUAAUAAUUCUUACUGUGUUUACCUAGCAUUAUGCAUCAAAGGAAGAAAAUGCAUGGCCUUGUCAAUGCCCUUCUGAAACAGGCCACUUCAGUACAGUUCCUGCUAGAACCUGUCAGCCAGGGGAAGGGGCCAGAUAUGAGGAUCAGCAGAACAAAACAUUGUGAAAAGCAUAUAGAGAAAUCGAUUGGUUUAUAUGCUGCUUUUAAAAUGCAAAAUGGAAAUAUUCUGCAGCAUUAGAUGAAAGAAUACUAGUCAGAGUGAGUUCUAGGACCGCCAAGGCUUCACAGAGAAACCCUGCUCAAAAAACCAAGGAAACAAAAAAGAAGAAAAGAAAGAAUGUUAUGGACCAGGGAAAAUUUGUAAGAAAAAUUAGGAGUUGGGGAGAUAGUUUGAAGCACAUAAAAAGUCACAAUACAUUAUUUA